ACGCUGGCGGCAGGCCUAACACAUGCAAGUCGAGCGAGAAAGUGCCCUUCGGGGCGCGAGUACAGCGGCGAACGGGUGAGUAACACGUAGGAAUCUGCCCGGUAAUGGGGGAUAGCCCGAGGAAACUCGGAUUAAUACCGCAUACGCCCUACGGGGGAAAGGGGGCGCCUCCCUUCGGGGAAGCUCUCGUUAUCGGAUGAGCCUGCGCAGGAUUAGCUUGUUGGUGGGGUAAUGGCCCACCAAGGCUUCGAUCCUUAGCUAGUCUGAGAGGACGAUUAGCCACACCGGAACUGAGACACGGUCCGGACUCCUACGGGAGGCAGCAGUGGGGAAUAUUGGACAAUGGGCGAAAGCCUGAUCCAGCCAUGCCGCGUGUGUGAAGAAGGCCUUCGGGUUGUAAAGCACUUUCAGCGGGGAAGAAAUACCCGGCGCUAAUACCGCCGGGGGCUGACAUUAACCGAAGAAGAAGCACCGGCUAACUCCGUGCCAGCAGCCGCGGUAAUACGGAGGGUGCGAGCGUUAAUCGGAAUUACUGGGCGUAAAGAGCACGUAGGCGGCUAGAUCAGUCGGACGUGAAAGCCCCGAGCUCAACUCGGGAAUUGCGUUCGAUACUGUCUGGCUAGAGUGCAGCAGAGAGGGGAGGAAUUUCCGGUGUAGCGGUGAAAUGCGUAGAUAUCGGAAAGAACACUCGUGGCGAAGGCGACCCCUUGGGCUGAUACUGACGCUGAAGAGCGAAAGCGUGGGGAGCAAAGAGGAUUAGAUACCCUCGUAGUCCACGCCGUAAACGAUGAGAACUAGCUGUUGGGAGGGAAGAUGUCCUUCGGGAUAUCGAGAGCUUCUCAGUGGCGAAGCUAACGCGUUAAGUUCUCCGCCUGGGGAGUACGGCCGCAAGGCUAAAACUCAAAUGAAUUGACGGGGGCCCGCACAAGCGGUGGAGCAUGUGGUUUAAUUCGAUGCAACGCGAAGAACCUUACCACCCCUUGACAUCACCCGGAAUCUGGCAGAGAUGUCAGAGUUCCGAAAGGACUGGGUGACAGGUGUUGCAUGGCUGUCGUCAGCCCGUGUCGUGAGAUGUUGGGUUAAGUCCCAUAACGAGCGCAACCCCCGUGGUUAGUUGCCAGCGGUUUAAGCCGGGCACUCUAGCCAGACUGCCGCUGACAAAGCGUAGGAAGGUGGGGACAACGUCAAGUCAUCAUGGCCCUUACGGGGUGGGCUACACACGUGCUACAAUGGGGCAUGCAAACGGUAUCGAACCCGAGAGGGGGAGGCAAUCCGAUAAACUGUCUCUCAGUCCGGAUCGGAGUCUGCAACUCGACUCCGUGAAGUCGGAAUCGCUAGUAAUCGCGGAUCAGCAUGCCGCGGUGAAUAUGUUCCCGAGCCUUGUACACACCGCCCGUCACACCAUGGGAGUGGAUUGCACCAGAAGUGGCUAGCCUAACCUUCGGGAGGGCGGUCACCACGGUGUGGUCGCGACUGGGG
This 1479-nucleotide ribosomal RNA is filed under the name uncultured bacterium. RNAcentral describes it as "16S ribosomal RNA". It matches the Rfam family "Bacterial small subunit ribosomal RNA". The record is from RNAcentral.